AGAGUUUGAUCCUGGCUCAGGAUGAACGCUGGCGGCGUGCCUAAUACAUGCAAGUCGAGCGAACGGACGAGAAGCUUGCUUCUCUGAUGUUAGCGGCGGACGGGUGAGUAACACGUGGAUAACCUACCUAUAAGACUGGGAUAACUUCGGGAAACCGGAGCUAAUACCGGAUAAUAUUUUGAACCGCAUGGUUCAAAAGUGAAAGACGGUCUUGCUGUCACUUAUAGAUGGAUCCGCGCUGCAUUAGCUAGUUGGUAAGGUAACGGCUUACCAAGGUAACGAUGCAUAGCCGACCUGAGAGGGUGAUCGGCCACACUGGAACUGAGACACGGUCCAGACUCCUACGGGAGGCAGCAGUAGGGAAUCUUCCGCAAUGGGCGAAAGCCUGACGGAGCAACGCCGCGUGAGUGAUGAAGGUCUUCGGAUCGUAAAACUCUGUUAUUAGGGAAGAACAUAUGUGUAAGUAACUGUGCACAUCUUGACGGUACCUAAUCAGAAAGCCACGGCUAACUACGUGCCAGCAGCCGCGGUAAUACGUAGGUGGCAAGCGUUAUCCGGAAUUAUUGGGCGUAAAGCGCGCGUAGGCGGUUUUUUAAGUCUGAUGUGAAAGCCCACGGCUCAACCGUGGAGGGUCAUUGGAAACUGGAAAACUUGAGUGCAGAAGAGGAAAGUGGAAUUCCAUGUGUAGCGGUGAAAUGCGCAGAGAUGUGGAGGAACACCAGUGGCGAAGGCGACUUUCUGGUCUGUAACUGACGCUGAUGUGCGAAAGCGUGGGGAUCAAACAGGAUUAGAUACCCUGGUAGUCCACGCCGUAAACGAUGAGUGCUAAGUGUUAGGGGGUUUCCGCCCCUUAGUGCUGCAGCUAACGCAUUAAGCACUCCGCCUGGGGAGUACGACCGCAAGGUUGAAACUCAAAGGAAUUGACGGGGACCCGCACAAGCGGUGGAGCAUGUGGUUUAAUUCGAAGCAACGCGAAGAACCUUACCAAAUCUUGACAUCCUUUGACAACUCUAGAGAUAGAGCCUUCCCCUUCGGGGGACAAAGUGACAGGUGGUGCAUGGUUGUCGUCAGCUCGUGUCGUGAGAUGUUGGGUUAAGUCCCGCAACGAGCGCAACCCUUAAGCUUAGU
Molecule: ribosomal RNA, 1128 nt
Filed under: Staphylococcus aureus
Lineage: Bacteria; Bacillati; Bacillota; Bacilli; Caryophanales; Staphylococcaceae
Description: bacterial SSU rRNA
Rfam family: Bacterial small subunit ribosomal RNA
Source: RNAcentral